AAUGAACCGGCGAGUUACGAUUUGAUGCAAGGUUAAGCAGUAAAUGUGGAGCCGUAGCGAAAGCGAGUCUGAAUAGGGCGUUUAGUAUUUGGUCGUAGACCCGAAACCAGGUGAUCUACCCUUGGUCAGGUUGAAGUUCAGGUAACACUGAAUGGAGGACCGAACCGACUUACGUUGAAAAGUGAGCGGAUGAACUGAGGGUAGCGGAGAAAUUCCAAUCGAACCUGGAGAUAGCUGGUUCUCUCCGAAAUAGCUUUAGGGCUAGCCUCAAGUGAUGAUUAUUGGAGGUAGAGCACUGUUUGGACGAGGGGCCCCUCUCGGGUUACCGAAUUCAGACAAACUCCGAAUGCCAAUUAAUUUAACUUGGGAGUCAGAACAUGGGUGAUAAGGUCCAUGUUCGAAAGGGAAACAGCCCAGACCACCAGCUAAGGUCCCAAAAUAUAUGUUAAGUGGAAAAGGAUGUGGCGUUGCCCAGACAACUAGGAUGUUGGCUUAGAAGCAGCCAUCAUUUAAAGAGUGCGUAAUAGCUCACUAGUCGAGUGACACUGCGCCGAAAAUGUACCGGGGCUAAACAUAUUACCGAAGCUGUGGAUUGUCCUUUGGACAAUGGUAGGAGAGCGUUCUAAGGGCGUUGAAGCAUGAUCGUAAGGACAUGUGGAGCGCUUAGAAGUGAGAAUGCCGGUGUGAGUAGCGAAAGACGGGUGAGAAUCCCGUCCACCGAUUGACUAAGGUUUCCAGAGGAAGGCUCGUCCGCUCUGGGUUAGUCGGGUCCUAAGCUGAGGCCGACAGGCGUAGGCGAUGGAUAACAGGUUGAUAUUCCUGUACCACCUAUA
Molecule: ribosomal RNA, 833 nt
Filed under: Staphylococcus aureus
Lineage: Bacteria; Bacillati; Bacillota; Bacilli; Caryophanales; Staphylococcaceae
Description: partial 23S ribosomal RNA
Rfam family: Bacterial large subunit ribosomal RNA
Source: RNAcentral